GGAUCCUACGGGAGGCAGCAGUAGGGAAUUUUCGUCAAUGGGCGCAAGCCUGAACGAGCAAUGCCGCGUGAACGAGGAAGGUCUUCGGAUCGUAAAGUUCUGUUGAAGGGGAAAAAGAGCGGAGAGAGGAAAUGAACUCCGAUUGAUAUUACCCUUCGAGGAAGUCACGGCUAACUACGUGCCAGCAGCCGCGGUAAUACGUAGGUGGCGAGCGUUAUCCGGAAUUAUUGGGCGUAAAGGGUGCGCAGGCGGCAAGAAAAGCUUAAGGUGAAAGCGUGGGGCUCAACCCCAUAAAGCCUUAGGAA
RNAcentral lists this ribosomal RNA (305 nucleotides) under uncultured bacterium. RNAcentral describes it as "bacterial SSU rRNA". It matches the Rfam family "Bacterial small subunit ribosomal RNA", at positions 334 to 632 of the family's 1533-position model. The record is from RNAcentral.